UAAUACCAGCACCCCGAGUGGUCGGGACGGUUUAGUUGGGCCUAAAGCAUCCGUAGCCGGUUCUGCAAGUCUUCCGUUAAAUCCACCUGCUUAACAGAUGGGCUGCGGAAGAUACUAUAGAGCUAGGAGGCGGGAGGGGCAAGCGGUACUCGAUGGGUAGGGGUAAAAUCCGUUGAUCCAUUGAAGACCACCAGUGGCGAAGGCGG
This 206-nucleotide ribosomal RNA is filed under the name uncultured ammonia-oxidizing archaeon. RNAcentral's name for it is "partial 16S ribosomal RNA". It matches the Rfam family "Archaeal small subunit ribosomal RNA", at positions 471 to 675 of the family's 1478-position model. The record is from RNAcentral.